AACGAACGCUGGCGGCAUGCCUAACACAUGCAAGUCGAACGAGACCUUCGGGUCUAGUGGCGCACGGGUGCGUAACGCGUGGGAACCUGCCUUUAGGUUCGGAAUAACUCAGAGAAAUUUGAGCUAAUACCGGAUGAUGUCUUCGGACCAAAGAUUUAUCGCCUUUAGAUGGGCCCGCGUUGGAUUAGCUAGUUGGGGGGGUAAAGGCCUACCAAGGCGACGAUCCAUAGCUGGUCUGAGAGGAUGAUCAGCCACACUGGGACUGAGACACGGCCCAGACCCCUACGGGAGGCAGCAGUGGGGAAUAUUGGACAAUGGGCGAAAGCCUGAUCCAGCAAUGCCGCGUGAGUGAUGAAGGCCUUAGGGUUGUAAAGCUCUUUUACCCGAGAUGAUAAUGACAGUAUCGGGAGAAUAAGCUCCGGCUAACUCCGUG
Molecule: ribosomal RNA, 433 nt
Filed under: uncultured bacterium
Lineage: Bacteria
Description: partial 16S ribosomal RNA
Rfam family: Bacterial small subunit ribosomal RNA
Source: RNAcentral